CCUUAUCACGUUAAAAUACCGGUUCUCGUCCGAUCACUGAAGUUAAGCAACGUCGAACUUGGUCAGUAUGGAUGACCGCUUGGGAAUACCAGAUGUUGUAAG
Non-coding RNA from Acanthosepion pharaonis, 102 nucleotides. The record is from the annotation of a GenBank genome assembly. NCBI's taxonomy places the organism in Eukaryota, Metazoa, Mollusca, Cephalopoda, Sepiida, Sepiidae.